This 427-nucleotide ribosomal RNA is filed under the name Chloropicon laureae. RNAcentral describes it as "partial Eukaryotic large subunit ribosomal RNA". It matches the Rfam family "Eukaryotic large subunit ribosomal RNA", at positions 2976 to 3399 of the family's 3401-position model. Lineage: Eukaryota; Viridiplantae; Chlorophyta; Chloropicophyceae; Chloropicales; Chloropicaceae. The record is from RNAcentral.
AGACAGGUUAGUUUUACCCUACUGAUGAUAUUACAAAUAGAUCAUUACAAUAGUAAUGCAACUCAGUACGAGAGGAACCGUUGCAUCACAUCGCUGGUAAUGGACUUGGCUGAAAAGCCAAUGGUUCAAAGCUAUCGUGUGUCGGAUUAUGGCUGAACGCCUCUAAGCCAGAAUCCUGCCUAGAAGUAAUGAUAUUGUUCAAUAUAUUUUAUACUUGUAAAUUAAUAUAUUUAGAGUACAAUUACAUAUGGUUUGUAAAUAGAAUGUGUAGACUAUACAUGUUUUAUUGAUGAAACUGUAAAUAAUAUUGAAAAUAUAUUGAGUUAGAUCCUUUGCAUACGACUUAAAUUAAAAACGGGGUAUUGUAAGGAGUAGAGUAAUCUUGUUAUUACGAUCUUCUGAGAUUAAGCCUUCGUUUUAUAGAUCU